Molecule: ribosomal RNA, 796 nt
Filed under: marine metagenome
Description: bacterial SSU rRNA
Rfam family: Bacterial small subunit ribosomal RNA
Source: RNAcentral
CGAAAGUCUGAUCCAGCUAUGCCGCGUGCAGGAUGACAGCCAUACGGGUUGUAAACUGCUUUUAUACAGGAAGAAAAACCCCGACGUGUCGGGGCUUGACGGUACUGUAAGAAUAAGGAUCGGCUAACUCCGUGCCAGCAGCCGCGGUAAUACGGAGGAUCCAAGCGUUAUCCGGAAUUAUUGGGUUUAAAGGGUCCGCAGGCGGUUUUUUAAGUCAGAGGUGAAAUCCUACAGCUCAACUGUAGAAUUGCCUUUGAAACUGAAAGACUUGAGUUAUUGUGAAGUGGUUAGAAUGUGUGGUGUAGCGGUGAAAUGCAUAGAUAUCACACAGAAUACCAAUUGCGAAGGCAGAUCACUAACAAUUAACUGACGCUCAGGGACGAAAGCGUGGGUAGCGAACAGGAUUAGAUACCCUGGUAGUCCACGCCGUAAACGAUGGAUACUAGCUGUAUGUCUACCUCAGGUAGAUGUGUGGCCAAGCGAAAGUGAUAAGUAUCCCACCUGGGGAGUACGAUCGCAAGAUUGAAACUCAAAGGAAUUGACGGGGGGCCCGCACAAGCGGUGGGAGCAUGUGGUUUAAUUCGAUGAUACGCGAGGAACCUUACCAGGGCUUAAAUGUAACGGGACAGGUCUAGAGAUAGACCCUUCUUCGGACUCAUUACAAGGUGCUGCAUGGUUGUCGUCAGCUCGUGCCGUGAGGUGUCAAGGUUAAGUCCUAUAACGAGCGCAACCCCCAUCGUUAGUUGCCAACGAGUAAUGUCGGGAACUCUAACGAAACUGCCGGUGCAACCGUGAG